CAGUAGCCGCGGUAAAACAGAGGGUGCAAGCGUUAAUCGGAAUUACUGGGCGUAAAGCGCGCGUAGGUGGUUCGCCAAGUUGGAUGUGAAAUCCCCGGGCUCAACCUGGGAACUGCAUCCAAAACUGGCGAGCUAGAGUAUGGUAGAGGGUGGUGGAAUUUCCUGUGUAGCGGUGAAAUGCGUAGAUAUAGGAAGGAACAUCAGUGGCGAAGGCGACCACCUGGACUGAUACUGACACUGAGGUGCGAAAGCAUGGGGAGCAAACAGGAUUAGAUACCCGUGUAGUCCCUGUCUCUUAUAC
Molecule: ribosomal RNA, 301 nt
Filed under: uncultured bacterium
Lineage: Bacteria
Description: partial 16S ribosomal RNA
Rfam family: Bacterial small subunit ribosomal RNA
Source: RNAcentral